This 250-nucleotide ribosomal RNA is filed under the name uncultured bacterium. RNAcentral describes it as "partial 16S ribosomal RNA". It matches the Rfam family "Bacterial small subunit ribosomal RNA", at positions 28 to 272 of the family's 1533-position model. The record is from RNAcentral.
GAUGAACGCUAGCGGCAGGCCUAACACAUGCAAGUCGAGGGGCAGCAUAAAUAAAGCUUGCUUUAUUGGUGGCGACCGGCGCACGGGUGCGUAACGCGUAUGCAACCUACCCUGUACUGGGGGAUAGCCCGGAGAAAUUCGGAUUAACACCUCAUGGUAUUAUAUAAUGGCAUCAUUAAAUAAUUAAAGGUUACGGUACAGGAUGGGCAUGCGUCCUAUUAGCUAGAUGGUAAGGUAACGGCUUACCAUG